UAAGUGUUUAAUAUAUAUAUAUAUAUACACACACACUUAUCACUAAGAAAUCUACUUUACAACUCAUUAUCUACUUUAUAUUAUAUCACACUCUUAUCCUUAUCUAAAUCCUUAUCUAAAUGGAAUCUCUCUUGUACACAUGUGAAGCACUCAUACAAUUAUUACAUACAUUAUUAUCACCAUCGAUUCCACUGCGGGGUCCACUAUGCUUCCGCCUACAGUCCCGAGUUGCCACUUGUUGGCGUGCUUCUUCCCGAUAGACCUGCUCCUCUUUCUUCUAACAGGAUUUCCAUUCUGUCAGCAAGUUCUUGCCAAUCCGUGUCCUCUGGUUGUGGGUCCAGCUUUGGUUGUGGCCAUUGUUCUAGGUCCAACCAGUUAGCUAUCUCUUCAAGCUCUCCUCACCACCUGUCGAUCUCAGGGGUUCUCCAUGGAUACCCUUCUUGCUCUCUUCGAUGGCCCAUGAGGUAUUCUCUGUACCUCUCCUGCAUGUCCUCCUCCCCUUCAUUGUCAUUGUGGAGUCUCGCGUCCGGGCUUCAUGGAUCUGCUGAGGCCUAUUGGAGUUGUAAAGUAGAUUCCUUAGUGAUAAUGAUUAAACACAAAGAGUUCGUAGAACCAAUGGUCAAGGUGGUAGAGCACAACCAUUCGUUGCUGUGAAGCAUCCUGUCCACAUGGAGUCGAUGUAUUCACAUGAAGAUGGGUUUUGAGUUGGCACUUGCCUGUAUGGUAGCGACACGAAGUACUGUUCUCGAGCCCAAAAUUGGUUUGAGAGCUUAUAGACAUUAGACUCGCUCCAAGACCCUCUGACAUGCUACUGCAGACCAAGCAAGCGUAAGAAGGAGGGAGGCUCCUUCUUGAAAUUAUGGUAACCGGUCUGGAUAAGAAAUCGGCUACAGUGUACCUAUAUAUAUAUAUAUUAAGUAAUAAAAUGUAUUAAAAGGAUAAAGAAUUAUCAACAUUAAAUCACUGUAUAGGCACAAAUAGAAAAAAGUAUCAGGCCUUUGAUUAUAGGCUUAAUGGCCACAAGAAUCAAAAUGGCUUCUGUAAUUGAUUACAUAAAAAUUUACCACCGGCAAACUCACUUUAUUCCUAGUGUCCAAAAUUAAUUACGAAUGAGAAAUUAUCAUUCAAGGGCACAAAAUGAGAGGUUAAGGCCCCAUAACUUGUUCACUCUUUAGUCAAAUGAGUAUUAAUUAAGGAAAAUUAUCAUUUGUAUACCUUUAGUUUACUCCAUUAUAAAAAAUACUACAACAUUUUGAGGGUGUAUCAAUCGUCCACCCUAAAUUGAUAAAAUGUAUCAGUCGACCACCAAACCGUUAAUUGCCGUUUAAAUAUGAUGACGUCAGAAGGGUAAUCUGGUCUUUUCAUAUAAUAUAAGUGAUAAUUUAAGAGUAUACAAGUGAUAAUUUAAGGGUAUACAAGUGAUAAAAAGAGAAUUUAAGGAUAUACAAGUGAUAAUUUUCAAGGGUAAAAUCAUCAAUUCACUGUAAUUCUGUUAACUUUCAAACGGCAAUUAACGGUUUGGUGGUCAGCUGAUACAUUUUGUCAACUAAGAGUGGACGAUUGAUAUACCCUCAAAAUGUUAUAAUAUUUUUGAUAUCAGAACAAAUAUAGAACAAAUAUAGAGUAUACGAAUGAUAAUCUUUCAUUAAGGGAAAUUAAAAUUAAUUAUAUUAGCCUUCACGCUUUUCAGGAUUGUCAGCCGAAAUAAGGCGCUCGUGUUGCCAUCCAUCCUCCAAAGCAUCAUCUGAAAUUUUCAUUGACGACGACUUUGGCUUCCAAUACAUCGCAUAAAGCACUAAUUGAGCCGUGCCAAGA
This 1815-nucleotide long non-coding RNA is filed under the name Citrus maxima (pomelo). RNAcentral's name for it is "long non-coding RNA (CMAX_LNC000962)". The record is from RNAcentral. Lineage: Eukaryota; Viridiplantae; Streptophyta; Magnoliopsida; Sapindales; Rutaceae.